AGCGGCUGAGCCCCGCGGUCGCCGUGUGUCUAAUUAGAAGCGCCCUUCUUCUUGAUCAACUCGAGUCAAAUUCAUUUACUCUGCUCGAAUUGAGGGUUUAAUUGGAUUCUUGUUUUCCCUCCUCCUGCCUUCGGCCCCGCCAUCUCCUUUGCCUUCCAAAGGGCCUCUCUCCGCGCAGGAAGCAGCCCCGAGCAUCUCCUGAGGACAGACAGACAGGUCGCGCCAGCCCGUGGGGGCAGCAGCCUUGACCCGGGGUCGCAAUUAUUACUGAGGCCACCGUGAUUGAGGGCCGCGUGAUGAUGUGUGAUGGGCAUGAGGGCGGCCCAGCCGAGGGUGGGCUUCUCGGUCCAGGCAGGCCCACGGAGCCCCUCCCUGCCAGGCCAAGAGGCCCCGUGUCGGUUCUCUCAAUCCGUGGCAGCUGGGUGGGCUUAAUCUCCGGGUUCUGGAAAACAAGUGGUCUAGAACGGCGAUUAGAGGCGAGUUCGCUACAUCUGGGGGCGUCUUGAAGACACUAAAACCGCUAAUUCUUUUUCCAAGUAAUGAGAUUUCUUCCCCUUUUUGUCUCCCCAUCUCCCCCCUUGUCAGUGAACGCCUAAAUGUGGCGGCUUCUCUCUGGCUGCAGGACUGGUCAUCGGCCGGUGGAGAAGGGGUGGGCAGCCACGCACCCGCGGGAGAAGUUCUGUCUCCCGGGUCAGACCCGCCCCGGGCGCUGAGAGGGGGAGAGGAGGAGGCGCAGACGCAGUGCAAAGAUCCAGACUCACGUGCGGGGCGGGCGCUGGCUGCAGACAGUGUAAUGCAGAGCAGAACUGGAUUGGGACCCACCCCAGUCACAUACACGCCCUGCCAGCUGGGGAGUGUGACCCAGCCCCUGCGAGCCUCAGUUUCCCCACACUAAUACCGGAUUAACAGGAGGUGGCUAUGAAGAGUCCAUGGGCCUGGCAUGUGGCGAGAGGCCAUCACACAGCAGAUGGCAGAAUGCUGUGUUAUAGUGUUUCAUGCAUUUCGCAAGGCAGCUAGCAUACACCCCUGAUGGAUACAUGGAUGGAGAUAUUGAACCUGCACAGCUGCUGACGGCCCCAGGCUGGAGACGGCGAACGCUGCGUGCCUCCUGAUGGAAACACGAAGCUCCAUCAGGUUGUCUCACUAAAAAAGCCAAACUUGAGUCUGAUCAAGCCUCAAAAACUGAUUGUCAAUUCAUCGAAAAUACAGAGGGCAGAGGGAUGCGUUGGAAGCCAUCAUGGGGCCGCGGUUGGUAAAGCCCACACUGGGACACACAAGUCAAGCUUCUGGUGUCUUAAAAAAAAUUUUUUUUUUUAAAGAGAAAGGUCCAGCCACUUUGGAAGACAGUUUGGCGGUUUCUUACCAAACUAAACAUACUCUUAUAUGAUCCAGCACCCAUGCUCGUUGGUGUUGAUCCAAAGGUAGUUGAAAACUUAUUUCCACAAAUGUUUAUAGCAGCUUUAUUCAUAUUUGCCAAAACUUAGAAGCAACCGAGAUGUCCUUCGGUAGGUGAUGGAGAAAUAAACUGUGGUCCCUCCAGACAAUGGAAUAUUAUUCAGCCCUGAAAAGAAAUGAGCGAUCAAGCCAUGAAAAGACAUGGAGGAAACUGAAAAGCAUCAGAAGUGAAAG
Molecule: long non-coding RNA, 1629 nt
Filed under: Equus caballus (horse)
Lineage: Eukaryota; Metazoa; Chordata; Mammalia; Perissodactyla; Equidae
Description: lncRNA (ENSECAG00000060296.1)
Source: RNAcentral